GAUGAACGCUAGCUACAGGCUUAACACAUGCAAGUCGAGGGGCAGCAUGUUGGUUGCUUGCAACCGACGAUGGCGACCGGCGCACGGGUGAGUAACGCGUAUCCAACCUACCCUUGUCCAUCGGAUAACCCGUCGAAAGGCGGCCUAACACGAUAUGCGGUUCUCAGCAGGCAUCUAACGAGAACGAAAUGUGAAGGAGAAGGAUGGGGAUGCGUCUGAUUAGCUUGUUGGCGGGGUAACGGCCCACCAAGGCAACGAUCAGUAGGGGUUCUGAGAGGAAGGUCCCCCCACAUUGGAACUGAGACACGGUCCAAACUCCUACGGGAGGCAGCAGUGAGGAAUAUUGGUCAAUGGACGGGAGUCUGAACCAGCCAAGUAGCGUGCAGGACGACGGCCCUAUGGGUUGUAAACUGCUUUUAUAGGGGGAUAAAGUGUGCCACGUGUGGCAUAUUGCAGGUACCCUAUGAAUAAGGACCGGCUAAUUCCGUGCCAGCAGCCGACGG
RNAcentral lists this ribosomal RNA (503 nucleotides) under uncultured bacterium. Its description in RNAcentral is "bacterial SSU rRNA". It matches the Rfam family "Bacterial small subunit ribosomal RNA", at positions 28 to 520 of the family's 1533-position model. The record is from RNAcentral.